UACGAAGGUGGCAAGCGUUGUUCGGAUUUACUGGGCGUACAGGGAGCGUAGGCGGUUGGAUAAGCCCUCCGUGAAAUCUCCAGGCUUAACCUGGAAAGUGCAGAGGGGACUGUUCAGCUAGAGGAUGGGAGAGGAGCGCGGAAUUCCCGGUGUAGCGGUGAAAUGCGUAGAGAUCGGGAGGAAGGCCGGUGGCGAAGGCGGCGCUCUGGAACAUUUCUGACGCUGAGGAGCGAAAGCGUGGGGAGCGAACAGG
This 253-nucleotide ribosomal RNA is filed under the name uncultured bacterium. RNAcentral's name for it is "partial 16S ribosomal RNA". It matches the Rfam family "Bacterial small subunit ribosomal RNA", at positions 524 to 776 of the family's 1533-position model. The record is from RNAcentral.